GUGUAAACUCAUAUUUAGAAGUUUGCACCUGAUCUCGUCUGAUCUCAGAAGCUAAGCAGGGUCGGGCCUGGUUAGUACUUGGGUGGGAGAAGCAACCUCUUUGACGUAAGAAGUGAAACUAGAAAACCUUGCAAU
RNAcentral lists this ribosomal RNA (135 nucleotides) under Chinchilla lanigera (long-tailed chinchilla). The record is from RNAcentral. Lineage: Eukaryota; Metazoa; Chordata; Mammalia; Rodentia; Chinchillidae.